Molecule: long non-coding RNA, 1512 nt
Organism: Spinacia oleracea (spinach)
Lineage: Eukaryota; Viridiplantae; Streptophyta; Magnoliopsida; Caryophyllales; Amaranthaceae
Exons: 5
Source: RefSeq, a predicted model, not a curated record
CAUUGUAUAACGACGAAGGAAUCAGUUCAUCAUAAGCGGUGAACAAGAAAAUAAAAAGUAGAAAUAAAAUAAAAUUGUCUGUCGUUAUUUAUCAUUUAUAAAGUAUUUUCGAAGCCCACCUCAAACUUUACUCUCCUCUAACCUAAAAUCCUCGGUUGAACUCCCCUCCAAUCGUGAUUCUCAAAUACCCUUCCUCUGAUUUUUUUUUCUACUUCCAGUAAUGAUUUUACUUAAUAAUGUAAUAUAGGGCUUUAUUUAUCCCGUUGGUGUAAUUGAUCGAUGAAUUUGGGUUCAGAUCUAGCUGUUAAUUUCAUCGACCGCAACAAUUCUGAUUUAAUAGGUUCACAUGCUCGAGCUCUGCCGGUGCGAUUAUGUUUGGGGACAAACUCAUGCGUCUGAAUGUUCCCUCGUUGCUGAAGAGUUGAAGCGAACAUAAUUAUGUUUUCAAUGUGCUCACGGAUGGCCAACAAUCGUGCCUCUAGUGAAUCUGAAGGCAUUACAAAGGGGGUCCUGCAGCUUGGAUCCUGGCAUGAAUGCUAUGCCAUGGACUCUGCAGGAAGGAAUAACUUUUGAUCGUGCCAAACGUAGACUAAAUAUGGUAAGAGGGUGUGAAUGAAAAAUUGGGCUUGAUAUGGUGGUAAAUGUAUAUAAGGUUCGUUUUCUUUACACAAUUUUGUUUUCUCUUGUAGUUUUUCAGCAUUUCCAUUUUUCUUUUCUUUUGUAUAUCGUAAAAAAUAAAUUGUAUCUUCAUUUCUGGUUAUCUUGUAGUAUCUAAGUAUACAAGCAAUAGUAGCUGAGUAUAUCCUUCAUCCGUUGUUUCGAACCUGGCAGAUUUAUAAUAUUGUUACAUAAACUGACAUAUUUGGGGAGUGGGGAGGGUAUGAGUGACAGAUUUAUAAUACUGCAACACAAACUGACAUAUUUCAUCCAUAACCUGAUCCUACACAAACUGAUGUUGCACUCUUACUCUCUAUUUUUUGCUCUUCUCCUACUAAAUUCCAUGGUUAUAUGUGUUGUAGGAGGAAAAUUCAGAAAAUAAUGGUAGAAGAACUAACACUAGCUUUUCCACGUACAGAAAAGCUGCUUAAGUCGAAGUCUCGUGAUGGGGUUUUGGGUUUUGGAGAAGGAAUAACAUUUAAAGAAAUAUCAGGACCAUAACCAAGAAAAGAGGUACUUCAAUCUAAGUUUGAAUGAAGCAAACUAACAAAAUCUGGUUCUUACAAAUUGUGUGGGUACAGUACAAGAAGAAAACAAUGCACUUAAGAGCUACAUGAGUUCAGUUGAAGAUGUUCUUAAAUCAUUUAAAGAAGUGUUACUACAACGACUUAAGGCUCCAAGAGAGGACACUUCAACUAUUUAGAUUUUAUUUUUUUCUUUUUGUUUGAACAUGAGUUAUUUUUUUAUUAGAAUUUAAAGACAACAAGAUGUGAUUGUUGGGUUAACAUAACUUGAAGUUCUAUUUACAAUUUUUUUUUUUGAGUAACGAAAUUUUCAUAUGUUUUAUUUGAUUUA